ACUGCAGCCUUGAACUCCUGAGCUCAAGCAAUCCUUCGGCCUCAGCCUCCCAGGCUUUGGCGUCUCCAAGUACCUGACCUCAGCUCAACCUGUCUUGGGUUUUCUUCUCCUCCCUGACAUUGACAACCCAGCCCUCCUAGGCACAGAGAGAUGGAGCUGAGUGUGGUUUUCCUGAAAUAAAGCUUGCAUUAUGAGAGGGAAUAAACAGUCGAACCCAAUUCACACCAGGAACAAGGUGGCCUAGUUGAUACAGUCCAUAAGGCCAGCCUCUGGGGCCACAGAACAAGAAGGUGGAGAAGAAUGAGGGGUGGAUUGUGGAGCAGAAGGAGAACAUCCAGUGAAGUCACUAGGUGAACCUGCACAGUUUGCUGAUGUUACACAGUGCCUCAGCUCAGAAUGGAUUUGGGAUCAGGCAUUAUUGAGUCUUCUUGGAAUCUGCUAGUUGGAAGGGUCCUCAGAUGUACUUCCGUUUUUAACUUAGCCAUUUCAAGCUCCUACUCAGCGAAGACUCCCCCUCCAGGUGGGGGACACUGUUGGUAGCCCACUCAGCAUUUCUCCUUCUUCCUGUAACAGAGGCCUGACUUUUUCCAACCCUCCACCCUCCACUAAGCGGCCAAGUAUCAGAGGGAAAGCUUAUCCUGGGCUGAAAUAAUUUAAGGAUAAUAUGUUCCCUUUUGUCAAGAAUUGGUUUAGAAAUGGAAAUGUGACCAAGUUGUGGCUGCAGAGCCUCGGGGAGAGAUUUGCUUGUGAUUUCCAAGGAAGUCCUUCCUCCCUCCUUAGAGAGAAAGUCCAGUUGUUAUUGGCAGCCACUUUACACCUAGGAGGACAGCCAACUUCAAGAUGAAGAUGUCAGUAUAGAUUGUGGGCUGGGAUUUGAAAAUCUGAGCUGUUGCUAACAUCACUGAGGGUAACCUAAAGUCUGCUUUAUCUCUGAAAUUCUCUUUUUAUGAAUAAGUAUAUUUCCUUUUUGAAAAGA
Molecule: long non-coding RNA, 976 nt
Organism: Homo sapiens (human)
Lineage: Eukaryota; Metazoa; Chordata; Mammalia; Primates; Hominidae
Source: Ensembl